GACGAACUGUCCUAACGUUGUUCGGAAUCACUGGGCUUAAAGGGCGCGUAGGCGGUCCGACAAGUCAGGGGUGAAAUCCUGCAGCUUAACUGUAGAAGUGCCUUUGAUACUGUCGGUCUUGAGGGAGAUAGGGGUGUGCGGAACUUCCAGUGGAGCGGUGAAAUGCGUUGAUAUUGGAAGGAACGCCGGAGGCGAAAGCGGCGCACUGGAUCUCUUCUGACGCUGAGGCGCGAAAGCUAGGGGAGCAAACGGG
Molecule: ribosomal RNA, 253 nt
Filed under: uncultured bacterium
Lineage: Bacteria
Description: partial 16S ribosomal RNA
Rfam family: Bacterial small subunit ribosomal RNA
Source: RNAcentral